Molecule: ribosomal RNA, 161 nt
Filed under: uncultured bacterium
Lineage: Bacteria
Description: partial 16S ribosomal RNA
Rfam family: Bacterial small subunit ribosomal RNA
Source: RNAcentral
GGAAUCUUCCACAAUGGACGAAAGUCUGAUGGAGCAACGCCGCGUGAGUGAAGAAGGGUUUCGGCUCGUAAAACUCUGUUGUUAAAGAAGAACAUAUCUGAGAGUAACUGUUCAGGUAUUGACGGUAUUUAACCAGAAAGCCACGGCUAACUACGUGACCG